Non-coding RNA from Amborella trichopoda, 1469 nucleotides. Lineage: Eukaryota; Viridiplantae; Streptophyta; Magnoliopsida; Amborellales; Amborellaceae. The record is from RefSeq and is a predicted model, not a curated record.
UAUUUGUGUGCCAUGUCUUUUUUUAGUUUCUUGUUUGGUGAUUUAUGGCUUUAAUUAUUGUUAGGUUAUUCUGAACUUAUACAUAUCUCUACCAAAGCUUUGUGAUUUUGAAACCCUUCAACGUGUUUUAAUUCCAUGGAUUAUGUGCUUAUGUAUGUCUUUAAUACAUUUAGGAUUUGGACGGAUACCCUUUAUCUUGAUGAAGGGGCAUGUUUUGGUUUUAAGGGUUUCAGUAAGGGAUUUUGCAAGAGUAUUACCUUAUAGAGAUUGAAAGAGUUAUGUUUCAGAUUUUGAUUAGGGUUUUUAUGAAUUCCUCUAUGUUUUUUGUGUGUUUUUGUAUUAAGAUGUAUUAUUGGAUCUAGUUUGCGUAAUGGAAACUAUAAUGAUUUGCGAUCUACUGAUUCCAUCUACGGGAUAUUAGUUUUAUCUUGAGUUUUGUUGUUCCUUUUCCCGAUAUUUCCUCUCUUCUGUGAGAGUUAUUUGUUAGAAGUGUCUGGUUGGGAAAUUUGAUAAACUAUAUUAUUUGUUAUUUAAAAUUUGUUGUAUUUUGCAAGGAUAAUAUGUUAUGUAGGUAACUUAGUUGGCUUUGAAAAUGAUUGAGUCAUUUGAUCUCUUUGUUGUAUAGGACCUUGUCAAAGGAAUUUGUAUAUAUGACCCAUGGUUGAGACAUUUGUGAAGAGUGUCAUGGCAAGCACAGCAUGUUUUGUCAUUGUUAGCAGGAAUGACAUUCCUAUAUACGAAGCUGAAGUGGGCUCUGCGCUUAAAAAAGAAGAGGCAGCUCAUCAACACCAAUUUAUAUUGCAUGCGGCAUUGGAUAUUGUUCAAGACCUUGCAUGGACAACAAGUGCUAUGUUCUUGAAGGCAAUGGAUAGAUUUAGUGAUCUGGUGGUGUCAGUUUAUGUUACUGCUGGUCAUACUAGAUUGAUGCUUCUUCAUGACUCCCGCAAUGAGGAUGGCAUAAAGAGCUUUUUCCAAGAGGUUCAUGAGCUUUAUAUAAAGGCCGAGACAAGAACUGAUGCGACCAUGCUGGGCCAUGAUCUGCCAGUCCUGGCCGUAUGGGCCACAUAUAUCCUAGGCCAGGCUUAACUGGCUGGACCAGGCCAGUCUAGCCAAGCUGGGCCAGGUUGCUUUGGAGAUUCACAAAGACGGAUUCUUCAGAUUCUCCUAAACCCACUGUACUUGCCGGGAUCACGGAUAACUUCCUCUCACUUCGAUACCAAAGUUCGGGCACUUGCGAGGAAAUUUCUCUAGAAUCUCCCUUCUCUUUCUUUCCCUCUCCUUUGCCUUACGGUUGAUUUUUCUGUGUGGUUUCGCCAUUGAGAGCAAAGAUUUACCUCACCUGUAAUUGCUCCAUGUUUUCUAUUUUUAUGAUGCACACCAUUCCAUUUCAGUUUGAGGUUUCUGCUAGCGCCUAUGCUACAGGUACUUCAAAAUUUUUUUAUUGCAAUCCAAAUCUAUUAAAUUUGUCA